This 441-nucleotide ribosomal RNA is filed under the name uncultured bacterium. Its description in RNAcentral is "partial 16S ribosomal RNA". It matches the Rfam family "Bacterial small subunit ribosomal RNA", at positions 338 to 795 of the family's 1533-position model. The record is from RNAcentral.
CCUACGGGAGGCAGCAGUGGGGAAUAUUGCACAAUGGGGGAAACCCUGAUGCAGCGACGCCGCGUGAGUGAAGAAGGAUUUCGGUAUGUUAAGCUCUAUCAGCAGGGAAGAAGCAAGACGGUACCUGACUAAGAAGCCCCGGCUAACUACGUGCCAACAGCCGCGGUAAUACGUAGGGGGCAAGCGUUAUCCGGAUUUACUGGGUGUAAAGGGAGCGUAGACGGUAUGGCAAGUCUGAAGUGAAAGCCCAGGGCUUAACCCUGGGACUGCUUUUGAAACUGUUAGACUAGAGUGCUGGAGAGGUAAGUGGAAUUCCUAGUGUAGCGGUGAAAUGCGUAGAUAUUAGGAGGAACACCAGUGGCGAAGGCGGUUUACUGGACAGUAACUGACGUUGAGGCUCGAAAGCGUGGGGAGCAAACAGGAUUAGAUACCCUGGUAGUC